This 1174-nucleotide long non-coding RNA is filed under the name Homo sapiens (human). Its description in RNAcentral is "HSALNT0024251". Lineage: Eukaryota; Metazoa; Chordata; Mammalia; Primates; Hominidae. The record is from RNAcentral.
CCAGCAUAUGAGUGGGUUUUCAUAACACUAAGGAGCCUUACUGUGUGUAGGUGAUACCUACACUUCAACCAGGAGUUCUGACAGAUCAAGGACUAUUGCCCUACCAGCUGGGGAGUGACACGAGAGAGGCAUGGGCAAGGAACCAGUACAGGGAGCCCACUUACCUGGGAGAGCUGUACAAAGUUCACUGCAAAGGGUGAAACCUGAAUUGUUUGCAUUAUGCGUGGGUCUUUGGCAGAUAGAGAUGGGGAGACAGGACAUUUCCGCAGAAAGGACAAUGUGCAGGCGUGAUGCAGCAUGAUUUUUCAGGGGGACCAGAAGCAGCCCCGGGCACAGCGGUCACCCCGGUGGAGUCAGCGGCACCAUGAGAGGCGCUACCCAGGAACAGCUCUGUGCACCUUGACUGCUCACCGGCCAAGCCCAAGUCCCUGAGCCUGCUCCUGACACCCAGUCGGCUUGCUUCCCCGCCUCAUCUUUGACUGCUCUUCCUUUCAGUCACCCCUCAUCUUCCUUCUACUUCUAUGCAGGUCCAAGCAUACUUACUGUGGCUUAUUUUGUUCCCUCUGCCUGAAAGAGGUCUCUUCACCUGUCAAACUCCCGGGUACCCUUCAGACUGAGAUGAUUGUCCCCUUGAAUGUGAAUUUCCCUGAGGCAAAACUCACCGGUUCUGCUGCUGCGUCUGUGUUCCUUCAACCCAUUCUCCACACAGGGCCAGAGCCAUCUUAGCUCCAGGCACGUCACCAGUUCACGUCCCAACGAGUUUAGAAUGAGUUCACAUUCUUUGGUGGCCACAUGCCUGCCCUACUGGCUCAUCUCUGACCUCACUCUCACCAUGCUCCUCUUCCUUCUAGCACCAUCGGCCUCCUGGCACUUCCUGGAACUGCCUCAGGUCUUUCCUCUUGCCUCAGGUCCUUUGCACAAAUGAUUCCCUCCUCUCUUUCCCUGGAAUUCUCACUGUGUAUCUUCCAGAUCUCUGCUUAAAUGUCGUCUCCUCAGACAGGCCUUCCACACCUUCCUCUCCAAAAGAGGUUCUCACCAUUGUCUCAUUAUAACAAGGCUAGUCUAAGUCCAUAUAUGCUGCUAUAACAAAACACAUAGAGGGGGCAGCUUGUAAACAACAGAGAUGUAUUUCUCACUGUUCUGCAGGCUGGGAAGUCCAAGGUAAAUGUACUGG